Molecule: long non-coding RNA, 1209 nt
Filed under: Phoenix dactylifera (date palm)
Lineage: Eukaryota; Viridiplantae; Streptophyta; Magnoliopsida; Arecales; Arecaceae
Description: long non-coding RNA (PDAC_LNC006619)
Source: RNAcentral
AACUAGAAACAUACCAUCAAGAAGUUCAAUUGAUAACAUAUGAUAACUUUAUUUACAUUGAGUUCUUAUUCAUUUAAAACAAGCCUUUGCUGCUUCCCUUCGCUAAGGGGUGAUCCCUCUGCAGCAUUUGUGGCUUUCAGUCAUCAAGAGGAAAUUGAGAAAAACCACUCACAUAUUGCAGUAUAAUACCUUUAAACAUGGACUAUGGCCAUAUAAAGGGAAAAAUGUCAGCAUAACAAUCCCACUGUACAUAACAGGCCCAAUUUAUGCUGAAUGUCAGAUGCAACUCCAGCAAGAACCUAAUGAACAUGGUAACUUAACACUACGAGAAGUUGGAAGUGCUGUCCUCAUUAAGCGGUGUGCCCAUGUCAUGCAUCCUCUGAUGAACCAAGGGAUACUCUGUGCACUACCUUGGCUCCCCUUCCCUUCGCCAUGUAAAGUCCUAUGUGAUGGAGCAGCUCCUGGAGACAAAUUGAAAAAUAAAUUUAAAACUUCUAUGGUAUCCAAAAUCGUUAUGUGCAUUUAAGUGUCAACCCAACUAAAUUAAUUUAACUUGCUGAAUGCUAGAUAUCCCAUUCCUAUUCCAAUACAUUGAAGGCAAAAAGUGCACUUCUCUGGAAACAUGAAGAGGAUGGAGGAGGUCAUGGAAUCCAAUGGACCUCUCUUACCCAGAUAACUUUUAUUUUAAAGGAAAAUCUGAAUAAUUUUUUUGAGCAUAUCUUUCUCCAGAUAGCUAAAUAGUCAUUUAUUUAUUAGGUAGAAGGAUCAAUUACGACAUAACAGUAGGACUAGUGUCCCUUAUCAGGGAACAGAUAUAUCGAGAAGAAAACUUAUUAGAUUUAAAACACAAAGCUAGAAUUCUCUUCCUGUACUUUACCAAGGAUAAGCAUUGAUUGUUUUUUCUAAUAACUAACUUAUGAGAUACUAAUUUGUAGGUCAAAGGUUCAUAAUACCUGUGCUAUACUGAGAAUGAGUAUGUAUUAUAAUUUGUAGGUAAAGUGUCCAUAAUACACAGAAAGAAGGCACAGCUCAUCAAUUUACCCGAGUUAUUUAUCAGGACCAUCAGGUGCACAAGUAUAGAUAAUCAGUUAGCUUUUGCUACUGAAUGGAAUUUCUGUAGCAAUUAUGCAAUUGAUCAUUGCCACAAAGCAGUCAGCUUUUUGCAAUACAUGCUAGACCAGCAGCAUUCAAAGAUCUGACAAAGGGUUC